Molecule: ribosomal RNA, 433 nt
Filed under: uncultured Legionella sp.
Lineage: Bacteria; Pseudomonadati; Pseudomonadota; Gammaproteobacteria; Legionellales; Legionellaceae
Description: bacterial SSU rRNA
Rfam family: Bacterial small subunit ribosomal RNA
Source: RNAcentral
GAGGGUUGAUAGGUUAAGAGCUGAUGAACUGGACGUUACCCACAGAAGAAGCACCGGCUAACUCCGUGCCAGCAGCCGCGGUAAUACGGAGGGUGCGAGCGUUAAUCGGAAUUACUGGGCGUAAAGGGUGCGUAGGUGGUUUAAUAAGUUAGCUGUGAAAUCCCUGGGCUUAACCUGGGCAGGUCAGAUAAAACUGCAUAGCUCGAGUAUGGGAGAGGGUAGUGGAAUUUCCGGUGUAGCGGUGAAAUGCGUAGAGAUCGGAAGGAACACCAGUGGCGAAGGCGGCUACCUGGCCCAAUACUGACACUGAGGCACGAAAGCGUGGGGAGCAAACAGGAUUAGAUACCCUGGUAGUCCACGCUGUAAACGAUGUCAACUAGCUGUUGGUUAUAUGAAUAUAAUGAGUGGCGCAGCAAACGCGAUAAGUUGACCA